This 645-nucleotide ribosomal RNA is filed under the name uncultured bacterium. RNAcentral's name for it is "bacterial SSU rRNA". It matches the Rfam family "Bacterial small subunit ribosomal RNA", at positions 633 to 1276 of the family's 1533-position model. The record is from RNAcentral.
CGGGCAGACUAGAGUGCAGUAGGGGAGACUGGAAUUCCUGGUGUAGCGGUGAAAUGCGCAGAUAUCAGGAGGAACACCGAUGGCGAAGGCAGGUCUCUGGGCUGUUACUGACGCUGAGAAGCGAAAGCAUGGGGAGCGAACAGGAUUAGAUACCCUGGUAGUCCAUGCCGUAAACGUUGGGCACUAGGUGUGGGGGACAUUCCACGUUUUCCGCGCCGUAGCUAACGCAUUAAGUGCCCCGCCUGGGGAGUACGGCCGCAAGGCUAAAACUCAAAGGAAUUGACGGGGGCCCGCACAAGCGGCGGAGCAUGCGGAUUAAUUCGAUGCAACGCGAAGAACCUUACCUAGGCUUGACAUGGACCGGACCGCUGCAGAGAUGUAGCUUCCCUUCGGGGCUGGUUCACAGGUGGUUCAUGGUUGUCGUCAGCUCGUGUCGUGAGAUGUUGGGUUAAGUCCCGCAACGAGCGCAACCCUUGUCCUAUGUUGCCAGCACGUAAAGGUGGGGACUCAUGGGAGACUGCCGGGGUCAACUCGGAGGAAGGUGGGGAUGACGUCAAAUCAUCAUGCCCCUUAUGUCUUGGGCUUCACGCAUGCUACAAUGGCCGGUACAGUGGGUUGCGAUACUGUGAGGUGGAGCUAAUCCCU